UACGGGGGAUGUAAGCGUUAUCCGGAAUUAUUGGGCGUAAAGCGCCUGUAGGUUGUUUAUAAAGUCUGUUGUUAAAGAUUAGGGCUUAACCCUGAAAAAGCAAUGGAAACUCAUAGACUAGAGUAUAGCAGGGGUAGAGGGAAUUUCUAGUGUAGUGGUGAAAUGCGUAGAUAUUAGAAAGAACACCGGUGGCGAAAGCGCUCUACUGGACUAUUACUGACACUCAGAGGCGAAAGCUAGGGGAGCAAAAGGGAUUAGAUACCCCUGUAGUCCUAGCCGUAAACGAUGGAUACUAGAUGUUGUGCUAAAUGUACAGUACCGUAGCUAACGCGUUAAGUAUCCCGCCUGGGGAGUACGCUCGCAAGAGUU
This 369-nucleotide ribosomal RNA is filed under the name uncultured phototrophic eukaryote. RNAcentral's name for it is "SSU rRNA". It matches the Rfam family "Bacterial small subunit ribosomal RNA", at positions 524 to 896 of the family's 1533-position model. The record is from RNAcentral.